Molecule: long non-coding RNA, 6020 nt
Filed under: Zea mays
Lineage: Eukaryota; Viridiplantae; Streptophyta; Magnoliopsida; Poales; Poaceae
Description: long non-coding RNA (ZMAY_LNC003645)
Source: RNAcentral
AACCAAGGACCUCCCUACACUGACCACUCCCUUACUGCCCUUGCCCCUUUCGGGUAAGGUAGUCCUCCACUAGCUUUCCUAAUUAAUCAGCCAAGGGCGUCCAUAAACCCUUGUGGUAGCACUGUUUUCCCGGGUGGUCGCUCCAUGUUCCAAUUAACAUAAUGAUCUUAUCAUGAACAGUAAUAAUAAACAAAUAAUAAAAGUGUGAUCAUGAAUAAUGUAUCUUCAUACCCAAAACCACAUAAAGCACUAGCAAGUACUGCCUAAAAAGUUCAGUGGUAAACAAGGUAUAAAGAUAAUCAAACUAGGGUAACCUAUUGGGUCCCAUCAAAAUUAACCUAUGCAGAUCAUUAUGAUUAAUUAUAACAUGAGUGGGUAAAAAGAAGUGAUCAAGGGCACAACUUGCAUGGGACUUGCGAUUCCAGGUACCAACUUGCUCUUCGGGUGACACGUGUCCUCACGCUAGUCGUAGCAUUACAAACAAACAGUGUAUAGGCAAAAUUAACAUUACACCAAACAUAAGGAUAAAAUGUAUAAUUAUGAUCUACGCGUCAUAACGAGAUCGUAGAAACAAGAACCACUAAAUUCGGAGCUACGGUUACCGAGUUAUGAAUUUCCGAAGAUCCACGUGGUUAAAUAUAGAAUAGACUAAGUGCAACAUUUUAAUCUAUAUUUCAUGACAAAACAAAGUUACCAGAUGAUAAUAAAUAUUAUCAUGAGACUAAUGCAACUAGAAUAGAUCAAAACAGAGUUACGGUUAUUGAGUUAUGAAUUUCUGAAAUUAUUUAGCACCUAGAAUAGAUUAAUUCAAUUGAAUAAUUUUAAGUAAGUUUCAUGGCUAAACAAUGUUACUAGUUGGUAGACAAUAUUAAUACAAAAUUAUUGCAACUAGAACGGGUCAAUUCGAAGCUAAAAUGGAUUUUCUAGGAAUUACACAAGUUCUAGAAUUAUUUUUGUGCUAGAAAAGUAUUUUCUAUCUUGUUUUUCCUAUUUUCUUAAGUCACUGGACUGGUGUAAUACCCAAAAAAAAGUAUACGAUGAGGAUAUAGUAAAUCUCCUUAUGUUGUGUGUCAUAUAUUCAUCAUAACAAGAGCAUACCUAUAAUUAAGGGUGAUUAGUUAAAAUAGAAGAUACUAAAAAUGGAAUAUGCAUCAUGCGGAGGUUUUGCUUUGUGUGCAUUUUGUGACAAUAUAAAAAUAAUGUAAAAAAAGAAAUAUGUUGGUACCAAAAUUGGAAUUUGAAUUCUAAAGGAAAUUCUAUAAUUUGAGAUGAGAAAGGAAAAUGCUUAUGGGCUCAUUUAUUCCUCCCAUAAAUAGAGGACAAGGAAAAUAAUAAAUAAAAAUAUUGGAAAUAGUGGGUAGUAUAUUCACAAUUGAACGGUAUUUAAUAUUUGAAAAUCAGAAAAUUCAAAACAGGAAUUUAAAAUCCAGUUUGAAUCUGUAAAUUUAGAAUUAGAAAAGAAAUGAAAAAGAAAAAAAAAAGGAAAACCUCUAUAUUGGGCCGCAGGACCAAAUUCUGGCCCACCUUUCGUUCCUCACCCGGUAAGCCCAUCUCCCCACCGCGCUGCACAUCACGACUGAAUCGCUGACGCUUGGGUCCGGGUCACCAGUGUCCCUACCGCGCACCAACACCUGCAGUCUAGUGUCGCUUACCUGCGGGCCAUCGUUGCCAGUUCUAUCGCCCUGCUUGAAUCGGUCAGAGACCACCAACCCUGUAGCCGCAACGAACUCCACCACGAUUCAUGGGGAGCCCAGCCUAACCUCGAUCGCGCGCUGCAACGGACUCUGUGAUUCCUUGAGGCCGUUGUAGAUCGCUUAAGCCAGCCCCGAUCCGCGGGCUCCAUAGUGGUAUAUAUGCUCACCGUUGCUGCGGAUGAUGUGGAGGAGAAAAGAUGGCCACCAUCCGCCCGGGGUCCGAAAUCCUCGCCAUCGCCAGCUACGCGUCCCAGCUACAGGGUAUAAAAUACCACCAUGUCGCGCCACCCCCUCUAGUCUCGCCUCCGCAAGCCAUACGGUGGACGACGUUCACCCAGGCAUUCGCGGGACGGACAGGGAGCACUGCCUCACCGGCGUGUGUGGCCGUCGCGGUCGAUCCCCAUCAGGGCCACUAGUCCGGCCUCGGUUGCCAGUUGGGAGGGUGUCCGAAACUGUGCCACUAGGAAUUCUUUGCCAGCGCCGCCUAAUUGCUCGACGGAGCAUUAGCUUCCGCUGUGGUGCCGCCCCGUGCCGUGGACACUGCUUCGACCGUCGUUGAGGUAUCCUUGAUCCUGUUCUCCUUCAUCAGUGCGUCAUCUAGAACCUAUCGGGACUCGUGAUUAGGUAGAAUUGGGAGCCUAAUUUCUCAUCGGAGGGUGGGCGUCACCACUUCCCCGUCAGGUGUCGUGGGUAGGAAUCUUGGCCUGGCAAUUCAUGAGGGGAGGACGGCUACCGAGUUCACGACGGGCGGGCCGUAGCUUAACUCCGGUCAGUGGCGGGGUCCGUGCGGGGUGCCCGUGAAUUGCGUGUUCGCCGGCGAACUGUGCUGUGUCGUGCGGUGGAGGCGCUGCCGCCACCUGGGCAUGGCGGAGGGAGAAGACGACCUCCCUGCCGUCCAUCCGAGUUGGACGGUGGGGAUUAAAUCAGGGGUAGCGUUUGGGUGGAGUCAAUCCGUGAUCGUCCGUUCUGCGAUUGACGGUCACUAUUAGAUCGCGAGUGUUUAAAAUCCGAGUCGUUGAAUAUGGAUCGGAGCGCCUGUGAUGCAUACCGGUUUGGGUAACGCCAGGCCUAAUCUGAGCCAUCCACGCAUGAUCGUGCGGCUGAGAACUUAUCUUACCCCUUCGCCGUGCACUUUUCUUAAAGAGCCCCUGCGUUUUAUGGAAAAUAACCCGCCGUCCAGUAUACAGAAACCUGAGUCUCGGGAAUUUUAGUAGAUUAGCCCCUGUGCUUCCCAGUAUUUGAGGCGUCGUCCAGGUAUUAAAUAAAACAGGAAAAAUAGAUUUAGAAAUUGAUUUUGUGUAUAAAAAUAAUUGUAAAACUUGUAUAAUUCAUAGAAAAAUUAUAUGAACUCUAAAUUGAUCCAUUUCAGUUCCUAUAAUUUUGUAAUAAUAUUGUUUAUCACCCUGUGUCUCUGUUUUAACAUGAAAAUGGUAUUAAAAUUUAUUUCUUAAUUAACCUCGUAUCAAAUACAUAAAACCUUAGGAAAUUCGUAUCUCCUCCGUUUUAACUCCGAUUUGAUCCGUUCAAGUUGCGUUAGUCUUGUAGAAACGCGUAGAUCAUUAUUAUUCAGUUUGUUCUUAUGUUUGGUGUGAUGUUAAUUUAUCUAUACCAUGUCUGUUUGUAUUGCUACGACUAGCGCGAAGGCGUAUCAUCUGAAAAGCAAGUUGGUACCUGGAAUCUCAAGUCCCAGGCAAGUUGUGCCCUUGAUCACUUCUUUUACCCACUCAUGUUCUAAUUAAUCAUAAUGAUCUGCAUAGGUUAAUUUGAUGGGACCUAAUAGGUUACCCUAGUUUGUCUAUCUUUAUGCCUUGUUUACCACUAAACUUUCUGGGUAGUACUUGCUAGUGCUAUAUGUGGAUUUGGGCAUUGAGAUACAUAUUAUUCAUACUUUUGUUAUCAGUUGCUAUUUACUGUUCAUGAUAAGAUCAUUAUGUUAAUUGGAACAUGGAGAACCACCCGGGAAAACAGUGCUACCACAAGGGUUUAAUGGGACGCCCUUGGCCGAUUAAUUAGGAAAGCUAGUGGAAGACUACCUUACCCGAAAGGGGCAAGGGCAGUAGGGGAGUGGUCAGUGUAGGGAGGCCCUCGGGAGGAUUUUGCUGCGAUGGCGGUCCUGCAAGGGAUUCCUGCAUUGGAGCUUCCUAUAAACUGUAGCGGGUUUUCUGAAGCUAGUGGAACUUUGUAAAGGCCUCGUAGUGUUACCCUGCCUCGCCUCCUCGGUAGAGGUGUAUGGGAAGUCGCGAUCCCUUGGCAGAUGGGUAACAUGACUUGUGGGUAAAGAUGCGCAACCUCUGCAGAGUGUAAAACUGGUAUACUAGCCGUGCUCACGGUCAUGAGCAGCUCGGACACUCACAUGAUUAAAUUAUGGAACUUAAACUCAAUUUGUCAUAUGCAUUGCAUCGCAGGUGAGGUUGCUACUUUUGUUCUACUACUUAAUUGGGUUGGUAUUUACUUAUACUUAGUAAUUGCUAAUAAAAUUUUGACCAACUUUAAAAGCAAUGCUCAGCUCUAACCAUCCUCUUUGGUAAGCCUUACACUUCACGUGAGCUCCCAUCUUUGGCAAGUUCACGCACAUUAUUCCCCACAACUUGUUGAGCGAUGAACGUAUGUGAGCUCACUCUUGCUGUCUCACACACCCCACAGGUCAAGAACAGGUACCGCUGGAUGAGGCGCAAGGAGGAUGCUGUGGCGAGUUCGUGAGAGAUCUAGGCCGUCGUCUCCCAGUCAACUUCGGGUUGCUGGACCGUUGUCUCCAUAUAAUGUAAUUAUUUAUUUAUUUUGUACAGAACUCCGAUUAUAUAGUAAAGAUGUGACAUUCGAUCCCGUGCCAUGAUUCAUCAUAUGUGUGAGACUUGGUCCCAGCACACCUGGUGAUUAUGUUCGCGCCCGGGCUUUGGACCCCUAAAACCCGGGUGUGACAGAAGUGGUAUCAGAGGAAUGUUGACUGUAGGACGAAACCUAGAUAGAACUGGACAACCCCUACAUACUUAUCUUUGGUACUCUGAUUCUUUUCUAAACUUUUCUCAUCUAUUUCCGCUUUACUCUGAUUACUCUUACAUUUUCACUUCUAAAGACAAAUGUGGAUUUCACACCUUGAAAUCCUUAACCUAAAGUGACUUUAGGAAUAGGAGACCUAAUCUUAGGGACAAAAGGAAAACUAUUUUCGUAGAUAUUGGUAUGCUUGAGUGUUUGUUCUUAUGACACUUGUCUGAUUUGGAUCUUUGAUUGAGUGUGAUGGGUUGUGGAGUAAUGUCCACAAUUACAUCUGCAUAUACGUAUAGGCUUAAAUAGAAUUCAUAAGAUAUCUAAACAACUUAGAUUAUCCUCCACUAAAAAGGUAUCUAUUUCAUAGAAGUCCCUCUUAUCUUAAAAGACUCUCUCUUAUCCUAAUAGAUCCAUCUUAUCUUAAAAGAUUAUUCUUACCUUAACAGACUCAUCACAUCCCGAAAGGAUUCUCAUCUUGUCCUAAUAGAUCUGACUAAUCUCGUUCAACUUAUAGCUACUCAACCUACUAAUGGGUUACCUACAGACCUAUCUUAACCUCUUGUCCCUAAUCCGGAUGAAGACACCAAAACUUGAGAAGAAGGAUAUCAAACUCGUUGAGGAAUGACAAGAGUCAAGCCAUACCUCCAAAGGGAUCAAGAUCCAGGAUGGAGUCUUUCGUUACCCUACUCUUUCUUAUCCAAACCUAUUCAUACUUCUAGGACAUCUUUUAUCCUACAUAAUGUGGUGGCCAUAUAUAUGCCAUCCUAAUCACCUGAUAGUUUGAUAUGGACUAAAAAAAAUCUUUUGGUACUAGAACUAAUUAGGAACUAAAAUCUAGACUACAAGCUAAACUUGUUGUGUCCCUUAUCUUACAAAUCUCGAGGACGAGAUUCUUGUUAAGGGGGGUAAGAUUUGUAAUACCCAAAAAAAGUAUACGAUGAGGAUAUAGUAAAUCUCCUUAUGUUGUGUGUCAUAUAUUCAUCAUAACAAGAGCAUACCUAUAAUUAAGGGUGAUUAGUUAAAAUAGAAGAUACUAAAAAUGGAAUAUGCAUCAUGCGGAGGUUUUGCUUUGUGUGCAUUUUGUGACAAUAUAAAAAUAAUGUAAAAAAAGAAAUAUGUUGGUACCAAAAUUGGAAUUUGAAUUCUAAAGGAAAUUCUAUAAUUUGAGAUGAGAAAGGAAAAUGCUUAUGGGCUCAUUUAUUCCUCCCAUAAAUAGAGGACAAGGAAAAUAAUAAAUAAAAAUAUUGGAAAUAGUGGGUAGUAUAUUCACAAUUGAACGGUAUUUAAUAUUUGAAAAUCAGAAAAUUCAAAACAGGAAUUUAAAAUCCAGUUUGAAUCUGU